CCUACGGGGCGCAGCAGUGAGGAAUAUUGGUCAAUGGCCGAGAGGCUGAACCAGCCAAGUCGCGUGAGGGAAGACGGCCCCACGGGUUGUAAACCUCUUUUGUCGGGGAGCAAAGCGAGUCACGUGUGACUCAUUGAGUGUACCCGAAGAAAAAGCAUCGGCUAACUCCGUGCCAGCAGCCGCGGUAAUACGGAGGAUGCGAGCGUUAUCCGGAUUUAUUGGGUUUAAAGGGUGCGUAGGCGGAGGUGCAAGUCCGCGGUAAAAUUGCGUGGCUCAACCCCGU
RNAcentral lists this ribosomal RNA (283 nucleotides) under uncultured bacterium. RNAcentral's name for it is "partial 16S ribosomal RNA". It matches the Rfam family "Bacterial small subunit ribosomal RNA", at positions 338 to 618 of the family's 1533-position model. The record is from RNAcentral.